AAUGAACGUUGGCGGCGUGGAUUAGGCAUGCAAGUCGUGCGAGAAGCUUUUGCUUGCAUUAGACGGAAAGCGGCGAAAGGGAGAGUAACACGUGGGUACCUACCUCCAGGACUGGGAUAGCGGCGGGAAACUGCCGGUAAUACCAGAUAAUGUCCCCGGACCAAAGGUGUGAUUCCGCCUGAAGAUGGGCCCGCGUCCUAUUAGCUUGUUGGUGAGGUAAAGGCUCACCAAGGCGAAGAUGGGUACCGGGUGUGAGAGCAUGGCCCGGCUCACUGGGACUGAGACACUGCCCAGACACCUACGGGUGGCUGCAGUCGAGAAUCUUCCACAAUGGGCGAAAGCCUGAUGGAGCGACGCCGCGUGCGGGAUGAAGGCCUUCGGGUUGUAAACCGCUGUCAGUUGGGAGGAAAUGCUAUGGGGUUCUCUCCAUAGUUUGACCGAUCUUCAGAGGAAGCGCAGGCUAAGUUCGUG
RNAcentral lists this ribosomal RNA (471 nucleotides) under uncultured bacterium. RNAcentral describes it as "bacterial SSU rRNA". It matches the Rfam family "Bacterial small subunit ribosomal RNA", at positions 29 to 507 of the family's 1533-position model. The record is from RNAcentral.